Molecule: ribosomal RNA, 274 nt
Filed under: uncultured bacterium
Lineage: Bacteria
Description: partial 16S ribosomal RNA
Rfam family: Bacterial small subunit ribosomal RNA
Source: RNAcentral
AUACGGAGGGUGCAUGCGUUAUCCGGAAUCAUUGGGUUUAAAGGGUCCGCAGGCGGUCAAUUCAGUCAGAGGUGAAAGCCCAUCGCUCAACGAUGGAACUGCCUUUGAUACUGGUUGACUUGAGUUAUACGGAAGUAGAUAGAAUAAGUAGUGUAGCGGUGAAAUGCAUAGAUAUUACUUAGAAUACCGAUUGCGAAGGCAGUCUACUACGUAUAUACUGACGCUGAGGGACGAAGGCGUGGGGAGCGAACAGGAUUAGAAACCCCGGUAGUCC